CCUACGGGAGGCAGCAGUGGGGGAAUCUUGCGCAAUGGGCGAAAGCCUGACGCAGCCAUGCCGCGUGAAUGAUGAAGGUCUUAGGAUUGUAAAAUUCUUUCACCGGGGGACGAUAAUGACGGUACCCGGAGAAGAAGCCCCGGCUAACUUCGUGCCAGCAGCCGCGGUAAUACGAAGGGGGGCUAGCGUUGCUCGGAAUUACUGGGCGUAAAGGGAGCGUAGGCGGAUAGUUUAGUCAGAGGUGAAAGCCCAGGGCUCAACCUUGGAAUUGCCUUUGAUACUGGCUAUCUUGAGUAUGGGAGAGGUUAGCGGAACUCCGAGUGUAGAGGUGAAAUUCGUAGAUAUUCGGAAGAACACCAGUGGCGAAGGCGGCUAACUGGCCCAUUACUGACGCUGAGGCUCGAAAGCGUGGGGAGCAAACAGGAUUAGAUACCCUGGUAGUCCACGCCGUAAACGAUGAGUGCUAGUUGUCGGCAUGCAUGCAUGUCGGUGACGCAGCUAACGCAUUAAGCACUCCGCCUGGGGGAGGACGGUCGCAGAUAAACUACAAANAGAGUAGAGCGNGAGACGUGCCGAGACGACGACGAGGGAGAGG
RNAcentral lists this ribosomal RNA (595 nucleotides) under uncultured bacterium. RNAcentral describes it as "bacterial SSU rRNA". It matches the Rfam family "Bacterial small subunit ribosomal RNA", at positions 338 to 1533 of the family's 1533-position model. The record is from RNAcentral.